AGCUUGCUUUUCUUAGCUUAGUGGCGAACGGGUGAGUAACGCGUGAGUAACCUGCCCUGGAGUGGGGGACAACAGUUGGAAACGACUGCUAAUACCGCAUAAGCCCACGGAUCCGCAUGGAUCUGCGGGAAAAGGAUUUAUUCGCUUCAGGAUGGACUCGCGUCCAAUUAGCUAGUUGGUGAGGUAACGGCCCACCAAGGCGACGAUUGGUAGCCGGACUGAGAGGUUGAACGGCCACAUUGGGACUGAGACACGGCCCAGACUCCUACGGGAGGCAGCAGUGGGGGAUAUUGCACAAUGGGGGAAACCCUGAUGCAGCGACGCCGCGUGGAGGAAGAAGGUUUUCGGAUUGUAAACUCCUGUCGUUAGGGACGAUAAUGACGGUACCUAACAAGAAAGCACCGGCUAACUACGUGCCAGCAGCCGCGGUAAAACGUAGGGUGCAAGCGUUGUCCGGAAUUACUGGGUGUAAAGGGAGCGCAGGCGGACCGGCAAGUUGGAAGUGAAAACUAUGGGCUCAACCCAUAAAUUGCUUU
This 536-nucleotide ribosomal RNA is filed under the name uncultured bacterium. RNAcentral describes it as "bacterial SSU rRNA". It matches the Rfam family "Bacterial small subunit ribosomal RNA", at positions 77 to 627 of the family's 1533-position model. The record is from RNAcentral.